UUCCGGUUGAUCCUGCCAGAGGCGACCGCUUUUGGAGUUCGAUUAAGCCAUGCGAGUCGAGAGCCUUAGGGGCUCGGCAUACUGCUCAGUAACACGUGGAUAACCUGCCCUAUUGUCUGGAAUAACCUCGGGAAACUGAGAACAAGGCCGGAUAACCCACAAUGCCUGGAACGGUUUGUGGGUGAAGAUAGGAUGGGUCUGCGGCGUAUCAGGUCGUAGGGGGUGUAAUGGACCUCCUAGCCAUCGACGCGUACGGGUGUUGGGAGACAUAGCCCGGAGAUGGAUUCUGAGACACGAAUCCAGACCCUACGGGGUGCAGCAGGCGCGAAAACUUCACACUGCAGGAAACUGUGAUGAGGGAACUCCAAGUGCAUUCACUAUGUGGAUGCUUUUUUUGACUAUUAAUCGGUCAACGAAUAAGGGCUGGGAAAGACCGGUGCCAGCCGCCGCGGUAAUACCGGCAGCUCAAGUGGUCGUCGCUUUUAUUGGGCCUAAAACGUCCGUAGCCUGUUUGGUAAAUCUGUGGGUAAAUCAACCAGCUUAACUGGUUGAAUUCUGCAGAGACUGCCAGACUAGGGACCGGGAGAGGUGUGGGGUACUCUAGGGGUAGGGGUAAAAUCCUGUCAUCCUUAGAGGACCACCAGUUGCGAAGGCGCCACACUGGAACGGAUCCGACGGUCAGGGACGAAGCCUAGGGGCACGAACCGGAUUAGAUACCCGGGUAGUCCUAGGUGUAAACGCUGUGAACUUGGUGUCGGGGAUCCGCAAUGGGUCCUCGGUGCCGGAGUGAAGAUGUUAAGUUCACUGCCUGGGGAGUACGGUCGCAAGGCUGAAACUUAAAGGAAUUGGCGGGGGAGCACUGCAACGGGAGGAGCGUGCGGUUUAAUUGGACUCAACGCCGGGA
This 904-nucleotide ribosomal RNA is filed under the name uncultured Candidatus Poseidoniales archaeon. Its description in RNAcentral is "bacterial SSU rRNA". It matches the Rfam family "Archaeal small subunit ribosomal RNA", at positions 1 to 923 of the family's 1478-position model. The record is from RNAcentral. Lineage: Archaea; Methanobacteriati; Thermoplasmatota; Candidatus Poseidoniia; Candidatus Poseidoniales.